UGGGGAAUAUUGGACAAUGGGCGCAAGCCUGAUCCAGCCAUGCCGCGUGAGUGAUGAAGGCCCUAGGGUUGUAAAGCUCUUUCACCGGUGAAGAUAAUGACGGUAACCGGAGAAGAAGCCCCGGCUAACUUCGUGCCAGCAGCCGCGGUAAUACGAAGGGGGCUAGCGUUGUUCGGAUUUACUGGGCGUAAAGCGCACGUAGGCGGACUUUUAAGUCAGGGGUGAAAUCCCGGGGCUCAACCCCGGAACUGCCUUUGAUAAUGGAAGUCUUGAGUAUGGUAGAGGUGAGUGGAAUUCCGAGUGUAGAGGUGAAAUUCGUAGAUAUUCGGAGGAAAACCAGUGGCGAAGGCGGCUAACUGGACCAUUACUGACGCUGAGGUGCGAAAGCGUGGGGAGCAAACAGG
RNAcentral lists this ribosomal RNA (404 nucleotides) under Actinomycetes bacterium. Its description in RNAcentral is "Actinobacteria bacterium partial 16S ribosomal RNA". It matches the Rfam family "Bacterial small subunit ribosomal RNA", at positions 355 to 776 of the family's 1533-position model. The record is from RNAcentral. Lineage: Bacteria; Bacillati; Actinomycetota; Actinomycetes.